RNAcentral lists this ribosomal RNA (673 nucleotides) under Herbaspirillum sp. MJk10. RNAcentral describes it as "bacterial SSU rRNA". It matches the Rfam family "Bacterial small subunit ribosomal RNA", at positions 86 to 755 of the family's 1533-position model. The record is from RNAcentral. Lineage: Bacteria; Pseudomonadati; Pseudomonadota; Betaproteobacteria; Burkholderiales; Oxalobacteraceae.
UGGCGGCGAGUGGCGAACGGGUGAGUAAAGUAUCGGAACGUGCCUAGGAGUGGGGGAUAACUAGUCGAAAGAUUAGCUAAUACCGCAUACGCCCUGAGGGGGAAAGUGGGGGAUCGCAAGACCUCAUGCUUUUAGAGCGGCCGAUAUCUGAUUAGCUAGUUGGUAGGGUAAAAGCCUACCAAGGCGACGAUCAGUAGCUGGUCUGAGAGGACGACCAGCCACACUGGGACUGAGACACGGCCCAGACUCCUACGGGAGGCAGCAGUGGGGAAUUUUGGACAAUGGGGGCAACCCUGAUCCAGCAAUGCCGCGUGUGUGAAGAAGGCCUUCGGGUUGUAAAGCACUUUUGUCCGGGAAGAAAUCCCCUGAGCUAAUAUCUCGGGGGGAUGACGGUACUGGAAGAAUAAGCACCGGCUAACUACGUGCCAGCAGCCGCGGUAAUACGUAGGGUGCGAGCGUUAAUCGGAAUUACUGGGCGUAAAGCGUGCGCAGGCGGUUGUGCAAGACAGAUGUGAAAUCCCCGGGCUCAACCUGGGAACUGCAUUUGUGACUGCACGGCUAGAGUGUGUCAGAGGGGGGUAGAAUUCCACGUGUAGCAGUGAAAUGCGUAGAUAUGUGGAGGAACACCGAUGGCGAAGGCAGCCCCCUGGGAUAACACUGACGCUCAUGCACG